This is a long non-coding RNA of Phacochoerus africanus (Common warthog), 1172 nucleotides long. RefSeq lists it as uncharacterized. Lineage: Eukaryota; Metazoa; Chordata; Mammalia; Artiodactyla; Suidae. The record is from RefSeq and is a predicted model, not a curated record. The transcript is spliced from 3 exons.
GGGAAGAAGGCGAGAACACGGCCCUGGAGUGCCCCUACUUUUCCCACUUCGUGGGGACUGCUGUUCAGUGAGGAAGAAGAGCACAGCCUUGGUGGCGCUUGUCUUAUUCCGUGCUUCCACUGUUGAAGCUCUGCCCACUCUCCUGGGCAGAGAUAAUCCUUCUCCCCUAGGCAGCUGGGAGGAAGCAAGAGUUUGGGGUGCCCCACUGGGCAUUAAACACCCCGAUGCACAAAUGCCACAAUCCCAGGCAAGCCACUGAAUCUCUCUGGUGUCGGCAUUCCCGUCUGUAAAAUGGGGAUAUUAACAACCCCUUAUGAGUAGUAAGCUGGGUUCAAUGAGAGGAAGGAGCCCAGAAAACCAGCUCAUUCGGUCCUUCCUGUUACUCCUGGCUCUCUCCAUCAUUUCACGUCCUCUUCACCGCCACGUAUCGUCCUAUUUUCUAUAAGCGCUUCCCCGGCUCCUCGCUGGUGCAAGAUGGGUGAUCAGGGAACGCAUGAAUGCAGCUAGAGUGGACUCCGGAGCCGACGCCCGGUGCGAGCUCGCAGAAUAGCCGCCUGAAAGGCAGGGAUGCCGCGCACCUGACCCAGUGCGGAGCCGCGACCCUGUGGCUCUGCGUGGAGCUUGAAAAGGGGGCGCGGUCCCUGACACCGCCCCCCACCUUCCGCCCGCGAACAUACAGCCCUAAGCGAGCGCCUUCUACCUGCAGACGCGGGCCAGACAGAGCCGGCCGCGAUUGUGCCUUCCCGGAUCAGCUGCCAUAGGUUGGCAGCCGACGCACUGAGCCAGUGCCGGAGCCUUGACAGCAGGGGCCGGGGCCGGAGCCGGAGCCGGGAUUUCUGAAGGAAAGAGGAAGCCAAGAUCGUGAAGGGCCCUCUUGGAUCUGCAGCCCAGACGGUUCUGGCAGAAGCAACCCGGGCGCCCAGGACGCGGCGGAGCGGGGUCUGCCCCGGGGCAGGAAUGCCCUGCCGGGAGGAGAACACAAGCCUCAGGACCGUUUCCGGGCCCGCGGGUGAAAUCCUCAGGGCUGAGGGACUCUCAUCAUCCAUGGCUAGAUCAGAGAAGUCAAAAGGAAAGGUCUUCAUCAUCUCUAAUCUCCAUCUCUCACCUCCCUCCAAAGCAGUUUACAAUAAAGAGAACUCACUCCCACAUCCUGAUCCCCACGCUUCUUUGAU